This is a small nuclear RNA of Microtus ochrogaster (prairie vole), 159 nucleotides long. Its record names the gene U1. It matches the Rfam family "U1 spliceosomal RNA". From Rfam's summary of the family: U1 is a small nuclear RNA (snRNA) component of the spliceosome (involved in pre-mRNA splicing). Lineage: Eukaryota; Metazoa; Chordata; Mammalia; Rodentia; Cricetidae. The record is from Ensembl.
ACACUUGCCUGGCAGGGGACACCAUGAUCACAAGGUGGUUUCCCAGCAUGAAGCUCGUCAUUUGCCCUUUGAUGUGCUGACCCCUGUGAUUUCCCCACGUGUGGGAAACUUAACUGCACAGUCUGUGGUAGUGGGGGGCUGCAUUCACACUCUCGCCUU